RNAcentral lists this ribosomal RNA (447 nucleotides) under Sphingomonadaceae bacterium 'ARUP UnID 491'. RNAcentral describes it as "bacterial SSU rRNA". It matches the Rfam family "Bacterial small subunit ribosomal RNA", at positions 27 to 506 of the family's 1533-position model. The record is from RNAcentral. Lineage: Bacteria; Pseudomonadati; Pseudomonadota; Alphaproteobacteria; Sphingomonadales; Sphingomonadaceae.
GAACGAACGCUGGCGGCAUGCCUAACACAUGCAAGUCGAACGAAGGCUUCGGCCUUAGUGGCGCACGGGUGCGUAACGCGUGGGAAUCUGCCCUUGGGUUCGGAAUAACAGUUAGAAAUGACUGCUAAUACCGGAUGAUGUCCCCUUUAGAGAUAUUGGGGACCAAAGAUUUAUCGCCCAGGGAUGAGCCCGCGUAGGAUUAGGUAGUUGGUGGGGUAAAGGCCUACCAAGCCGACGAUCCUUAGCUGGUCUGAGAGGAUGAUCAGCCACACUGGGACUGAGACACGGCCCAGACUCCUACGGGAGGCAGCAGUGGGGAAUAUUGGACAAUGGGGGCAACCCUGAUCCAGCAAUGCCGCGUGAGUGAUGAAGGCCUUCGGGUCGUAAAGCUCUUUUACCAGGGAUGAUAAUGACAGUACCUGGAGAAUAAGCUCCGGCUAACUCCGU